GUGAACGCUGGCGGCGUGCUCAACACAUGCAAGUCGAACGAUGAAGCUCUAGCUUGCUAGAGUGGAUUAGUGGCGCACGGGUGAGGAAUAUAUAGCUAAUGUGCCCCAUAGAGGGGGAUAACAGUUGGAAACGACUGCUAAUACCCCAUACUCCUUCUUCUCAUAAGGGAAGUCGGGAAAGUUUUUUCGCUAUGGGAUCGGGCUAUACGGUAUCAGCUUGUUGGUGAGGUAACGGCUCACCAAGGCUAUGACGCCUAUCUGGUCUGAGAGGAUGAUCAGACACACUGGAACUGAGACACGGUCCAGACUCCUACGGGAGGCAGCAGUGGGGAAUAUUACACAAUGGAGGCAACUCUGAUGUAGCAACGCCGCGUGGAGGAUGACACAUUUCGGUGCGUAAACUCCUUUUAUAUAGGAAGAUAAUGACGGUACUAUAUGAAUAAGCACCGGCUAACUCCGUGCCAGCAGCCGCGGUAAUACGGAGGGUGCAAGCGUUACUCGGAAUCACUGGGCGUAAAGCGCGCGCAGGCGGCCCCUUAAGUUGGAUGUGAAAUCCUAUGGCUCAAGCAUAGAACUGCAUCCAAAACUGAGGGGCUAGAGUCUGGGAGGG
This 610-nucleotide ribosomal RNA is filed under the name uncultured Campylobacterota bacterium. RNAcentral describes it as "bacterial SSU rRNA". It matches the Rfam family "Bacterial small subunit ribosomal RNA", at positions 29 to 656 of the family's 1533-position model. The record is from RNAcentral. Lineage: Bacteria; Pseudomonadati; Campylobacterota.